CAAACCCUAUCCAUCCCUUUCUCACUCUUCCUCCCCUCCUGCGCCGCCUCGUCCUGUCCUCUCCGGCCUGCCACUUCAAGCCGCCGCAGGGGCCUCUCCACCUCCCGCGUUGACGGCCGCCGGCCUUCUCCACAAAGCGCCAGAUCCGCGCCGCCGCGGGCUUCUUGCCGGUGCAGCUACUCGCGCCCUCCCGUUCGGCGUCCAUGGAGGAAGAGCACUUGGAGCCCCGCAAGCAUGCUAGAUCCGGCAGUCGGGCAUGGCGGCCGCGCCGGCCACCACCCGCCGACGGCCUCCUCUCUCUCCCCACAUGCCGCGGUCGGUCAUUCGCCCACCCGCCCCGAGGCCACUAGUUGGCCAGGCUCCUGUUGGGGGUCCCACUGCCCCGGAUCCAUGGAGGAGGAUGACCACAGCUGGGGGUGGAAGGCAACUCUGGCUCCACCUUUACUUGCAGGGGCGACGCGGAUCUAGGGGGUCCUUCUUCCUUCUUGGCUCUCCUUCUUUUUCCUUGGUUCUUGGUGUCCGGCUAACUGCUGUUCCUUUGGGCGCAGGAAACGCUUGUCUGGAAGGAGACCAAGGAGGACGCAGUGCCAUCCUUCGAGGACUUUGAAAAUUCGAAGAACUAUUGCACUUAUGGCCUGCGAAGGGUUAUUCUUGCUUCUGUUUUGAGAUACUUAUUCUCGUAUUUCGAUGUAUAUAUGGCUCAUGUAAUAUUUUAUAUGUAUGAGAUUGGUUUAAAAUGUGGUGUGCUAUUUCUUUAAGAAAUUUGUUUUAACUCUGAUGAUUGGUGAAAUGGGCUUGGGCCAUCAGUAA
This is a long non-coding RNA of Panicum virgatum (switchgrass), 810 nucleotides long. RefSeq lists it as uncharacterized. NCBI's taxonomy places the organism in Eukaryota, Viridiplantae, Streptophyta, Magnoliopsida, Poales, Poaceae. The record is from RefSeq and is a predicted model, not a curated record. The transcript is spliced from 2 exons.